CCUCCUCCUCCUCCUCCUCCUCCCUGGGACAUGAGUGGAGCUGGCUUGUAAUUAUGAUAUUUAUUAUUUAUUGUCAUUGUUAAGCAAGGAAAGUUGAGAUGGGGAUUUAUGUCUACCCAUAAAGCUGGUUAUGUAAAUGGCUUCAAGAGUGUUCAAUCUCAGCCUUUACGACGCUCUUUUAUCUUUCCAACGACCCACCCGUUCUGAGUGUCAGUGUGAACUGUGAAGACGGAUGGAUGGAUGGAUGGAUUGUUAACAAGCAACAGAUGGCUUUAGAUCCAGUGAUCCACAAAAUAUAUAUUGGAAAAUCGUACGGAUCCUAUGUGUAUUAAAUAAUGAAACUCACAUGAAGUAAUGGUUUAUAUGCGGGCAAUCUUUCUUUCUUUCUUUGUUUAGGCUUUUUGGGUGUGUCGGUCAUUGACCUCUUUACACUUGAGGCCUGCGGUUAGCAAAUGACUUCUUCGAUUUAAUCUAACCCUAUUUAAUGAUUGAUCAUCGAACUUGAGAUAGGUCUCAAGAUAUCGAGAUGUGAACAAUC
Molecule: unclassified non-coding RNA, 538 nt
Filed under: Hevea brasiliensis (rubber tree)
Lineage: Eukaryota; Viridiplantae; Streptophyta; Magnoliopsida; Malpighiales; Euphorbiaceae
Source: RNAcentral